GACGAACGCUGGCGGCGUGCUUAACACAUCCAAGUCGAACGGAAAGGCCCUGCUUUUGUGGGGUGCUCGAGUGGCGAACGGGUGAGUAACACGUGAGUAACCUGCCCUUGACUUUGGGAUAACUUCAGGAAACUGGGGCUAAUACCGGAUAGGAGCUCCUGCUGCAUGGUGGGGGUUGGAAAGUUUCGGCGGUUGGGGAUGGACUCGCGGCUUAUCAGCUUGUUGGUGGGGUAGUGGCUUACCAAGGCUUUGACGGGUAGCCGGCCUGAGAGGGUGACCGGCCACAUUGGGACUGAGAUACGGCCCAGACUCCUACGGGAGGCAGCAGUGGGGAAUAUUGCACAAUGGGCGGAAGCCUGAUGCAGCAACGCCGCGUGCGGGAUGACGGCCUUCGGGUUGUAAACCGCUUUCGACUGUGACGAAGCGUGAGUGACGGUAAUGGGUAAAGAAGCACCGGCUAACUACGUG
Molecule: ribosomal RNA, 468 nt
Filed under: uncultured bacterium
Lineage: Bacteria
Description: partial 16S ribosomal RNA
Rfam family: Bacterial small subunit ribosomal RNA
Source: RNAcentral